CGGAUGUGGCUCAGUUGGUAGAGCAUAACCUUGCCAAGGUUGGGGUCGCGGGUUCGAGUCCCGUCAUCCG
This 70-nucleotide transfer RNA is filed under the name human gut metagenome. It matches the Rfam family "tRNA". From Rfam's summary of the family: Transfer RNA (tRNA) molecules are approximately 80 nucleotides in length. Their secondary structure includes four short double-helical elements and three loops (D, anti-codon, and T loops). Further hydrogen bonds mediate the characteristic L-shaped molecular structure. tRNAs have two regions of fundamental functional importance: the anti-codon, which is responsible for specific mRNA codon recognition, and the 3' end, to which the tRNAs corresponding amino acid is attached (by aminoacyl-tRNA synthetases). tRNAs cope with the degeneracy of the genetic code in two manners: having more than one tRNA (with a specific anti-codon) for a particular amino acid; and 'wobble' base-pairing, i.e. permitting non-standard base-pairing at the 3rd anti-codon position. The record is from RNAcentral.